GAUGAACGCUGGCGGCGUGCCUAAUACAUGCAAGUCGAGCGAACAGACGAGGAGCUUGCUCCUCUGACGUUAGCGGCGGACGGGUGAGUAACACGUGGAUAACCUCCCUAUAAGACUGGGAUAACUUCGGGAAACCGGAGCUAAUACCGGAUAAUAUAUUGAACCGCAUGGUUCAAUAGUGAAAGACGGUUUUGCUGUCACUUAUAGAUGGAUCCGCGCCGCAUUAGCUAGUUGGUAAGGUAACGGCUUACCAAGGCAACGAUGCGUAGCCGACCUGAGAGGGUGAUCGGCCACACUGGAACUGAGACACCGUCCAGACUCCUACGGGAGGCAGCAGUAGGGAAUCUUCCGCAAUGGGCGAAAGCUUGACGGAGCAACGCCGCGUGAGUGAUGAAGGCCUUCGGAUCGUAAAGCUCUGUUAUUAGGGAAGAACAAAUGUGUAAGUAACUAUGCACGUCUUGACGGUACCUAAUCAGAAAGCCACGGCUAACUACGUG
RNAcentral lists this ribosomal RNA (497 nucleotides) under uncultured bacterium. Its description in RNAcentral is "partial 16S ribosomal RNA". It matches the Rfam family "Bacterial small subunit ribosomal RNA", at positions 28 to 507 of the family's 1533-position model. The record is from RNAcentral.